ACGGAAUAUAGGGGUGAGGGUUAAAGCCGGACCCUCAUUUUUCUUCUGAGCGAAGAAGGCCUUCGGGUCGAAAGGCUUUUUUCCUCAGGAAGAGGAAGGACGGUACCUGGGGAACCAUUGCGGCUAUUUCUUGGCCGUGCCUUCCGGUAGAAUCA
This 155-nucleotide ribosomal RNA is filed under the name uncultured bacterium. RNAcentral's name for it is "partial 16S ribosomal RNA". The record is from RNAcentral.